GUUAUGUUCUUGAACUCAAAGAAUUUGGCGGUAUUCCUUACCUUUCAGAGGAAUCUGCUCCGUUAUUGAUGAUCCGCGUUGGACCUUACUUGAUUUAUUUGUUUGUAUACCGCCGUUGUAAUGAAGAUCUUUUUAGUGUUUUUAAUUUUCUAAUAUCAUUAUUUUGUUUUAUUUCAGGUCAAGGUGCAGCUUAUUUUUAAGUGUGAAGUGGAUUACAUUGUGUUGUUGGAAUUUUGGAUUAUUGUUUGUAAUUUCUGGUAUGAAAUUGGAUUUGAUUGUAAUUUAUUGAAGAUUGUUUUGAUGAUAUUGGUUCUGGAGUAUGUACACAUCGCCCGUCGCUC
This 341-nucleotide ribosomal RNA is filed under the name Proneotermes macondianus. RNAcentral describes it as "partial 12S ribosomal RNA". The record is from RNAcentral. Lineage: Eukaryota; Metazoa; Arthropoda; Insecta; Blattodea; Kalotermitidae.